This 465-nucleotide ribosomal RNA is filed under the name uncultured bacterium. RNAcentral describes it as "partial 16S ribosomal RNA". It matches the Rfam family "Bacterial small subunit ribosomal RNA", at positions 28 to 507 of the family's 1533-position model. The record is from RNAcentral.
GACGAACGCUGGCGGCGUGCUUAACACAUGCAAGUCGAACGGAAAGGCCCCUUUGGGGGUACUCGAGUGGCGAACGGGUGAGUAACACGUGAGUAACCUGCCCUUGACUUCGGGAUAACUUCAGGAAACUGGGGCUAAUACCGGAUAGGAAUCCUUGCUGCAUGGUGGGGGUUGGAAAGCUUCGGCGGUUUUGGAUGGACUCGCGGCUUAUCAGCUUGUUGGUGGGGUAGUGGCUUACCAAGGCUUUGACGGGUUGCCGGCCUGAGAGGGCGACCGGCCACAUUGGGACUGAGAUACGGCCCAGACUCCUACGGGAGGCAGCAGUGGGGAAUAUUGCACAAUGGGCGGAAGCCUGAUGCAGCAACGCCGCGUGCGGGAUGACGGCCUUCGGGUUGUAACCCGCUUUCAGCAGGGGCGAAGCUUGUGGUGACGGUACCUGCAGAAGAAGCACCGGCUAACUACGUG